UACGGAGGAUGCAAGCGUUAUCCGGAAUGAUUGGGCGUAAAGCGUCCGCAGGUGGCAAUGUAAGUCUGCUGUCAAAGCGUCUGGCUCAACCAGAUACAGGCAGUGGAAACUACAUAGCUAGAGUAAGGUAGGGGUAGAGGGAAUUCCUGGUGUAGCGGUGAAAUGCGUAGAGAUCAGGAAGAACACCGGUGGCGAAAGCGCUCUGCUAGGCCGCAACUGACACUCAUGGACGAAAGCUAGGGGAGCGAAUGGG
This 253-nucleotide ribosomal RNA is filed under the name uncultured bacterium. RNAcentral describes it as "partial 16S ribosomal RNA". It matches the Rfam family "Bacterial small subunit ribosomal RNA", at positions 524 to 776 of the family's 1533-position model. The record is from RNAcentral.